Molecule: ribosomal RNA, 253 nt
Filed under: uncultured bacterium
Lineage: Bacteria
Description: partial 16S ribosomal RNA
Rfam family: Bacterial small subunit ribosomal RNA
Source: RNAcentral
UACAGAGGGUGCAAGCGUUGUUCGGAAUUACUGGGCGUAAAGAGCUCGUAGGUGGUUUGUCGCGUUGUUCGUGAAAACUCACAGCUCAACUGUGGGCGUGCGGGCGAUACGGGCAGACUGGAGUACUGCAGGGGAGACUGGAAUUCCUGGUGUAGCGGUGGAAUGCGCAGAUAUCAGGAGGAACACCGGUGGCGAAGGCGGGUCUCUGGGCAGUAACUGACGCUGAGGAGCGAAAGCGUGGGGAGCGAACAGG